GACGAACGCUGGCGGCGUGCUUAACACAUGCAAGUCGAACGGUAAGGCCCUUCGGGGUACACGAGUGGCGAACGGGUGAGUAACACGUGGGUGAUCUGCCCUGCACUUCGGGAUAAGCCUGGGAUACUGGGUCUAAUACCGGAUAGGACUCCGGACUGCAUGGUCUGGGGUGGAAAGCUUUUGCGGUGUGGGAUGGGCCCGCGGCCUAUCAGCUUGUUGGUGGGGUGAUGGCCUACCAAGGCGACGACGGGUAGCCGGCCUGGGAGGGUGACCGGCCACACUGGGACUGAGAUACGGCCCAGACUCCUACGGGAGGCAGCAGUGGGGAAUAUUGCACAAUGGGCGCAAGCCUGAUGCAGCGACGCCGCGUGAGGGAUGACGGCCUUCGGGUUGUAAACCUCUUUCAGCAUCGACGAAGCGAAAGUGACGGUAGGUGCAGAAGAAGGACCGGCCAACUACAUGCCAGCAGCCGCCGUAA
Molecule: ribosomal RNA, 478 nt
Filed under: uncultured bacterium
Lineage: Bacteria
Description: partial 16S ribosomal RNA
Rfam family: Bacterial small subunit ribosomal RNA
Source: RNAcentral